GUCAUUCCUAAUAGACCAUCUUAUAGAAUGAGUCCACAAGAGCAUGCUGAAAUCACACGUCAAGUUGAAGAAUUGCUGAAGAAAGGACUAAUACAGGAAAGUGUUAGCCCUUGUGCUGUUUCUGCAAUUUUAGUACCCAAAAAGGAUGGAAGCUGGAGAAUGUGUGUUGAUAGUCGAGUUGUCAACAAGAUUACAAUCAAAUAUCGAUUUCCGAUACCUAGACUUGAUGAUUUAUUAGAUCAGUUGCAUGGUGCCACCAUAUUUUAAAAGAUUGAUCUUCGAAGUGGAUACCAUCAAAUCAGGCUUAGGCCAGGAGAUGAAUGUAAGACUGCAUUCAAAACAAGAGAUGUCUUAUAUGAAUGGACAGUGAUGCCCUUUGGGUUAUCUAAUGCUCCAAGUACCUUCAUGCGUCUAAUGAAUCAAGUACUUCGACCAUUCAUUGGCAAAUUUGUAGUUGUAUACUUUGACGAUAUCUUGAUCUACAACAAACAUAAAGAUGAACACUUAGAGCAGCUUCGACAAGUGCUACAAACUCUUCGCGAACAAAAACUCUUAUGCAAAUUUGAAGAAAUGUUCUUUCCUAACCAAUGAGGUUACUUUUCUGGGUUACAUAAUCACUGCUGAAGGUGUUCGAGUUGACCCCAGCAAGGUUGAGGCUAUCAAUAGGUGGCCUAUUCCAAAGUCAAUUCAUGAUGUGAGAAGUUUCCAUGGAUUAGCUUCAUUUUAUAGAAGGUUCAUCAAGAACUUUAGCUCUGUUGCUGCCCCGCUUACAGAUUGCAUAAAGGGAGAUAAGUUCCAAUGGACCGAGCAAUCACAAAAGAGUUUUGACCACCUAAAACAACUUUUGACUGAAACACCUGUGCUAGCCCUUCCCAACUUUGACCAGGUGUUCGAAGUAAGUUGUGACGCUUCCAAUUCAGGAAUUGGUGCGGUUCUAUGUCAAGAAGGUCAUCCUAUAGCCUUCUUUAGUGAAAAGCUCAACAAUGGUAAACUUAGAUAUUCAACAUAUGAUAAAGAAUUUUAUGCCAUUGUCCGAGCCUUGCAACAUUGGAGUCAUUACUUGUUGAAUAAAGAAUUUAUUCUUUAUUCUGAUCAUGAAGCCCUUAAACAUUUGAAUUCUCAACAAAAGAUCAAUCGCAGGCAUGCCGCUUGGAGUGAGUUUUUACAAGCUUAUCCGUUCUCUCUAAAACAUAAGGCGGGAGUUCAAAAUGUUGUUGCAGAUGCUCUUAGCAGGCGUCAUACCCUACUUGCCACUAUGCAAAUGAAAGUCAUUGGAUUUGAGACAGCCAAAGAGUUAUACAAAGAUGAUCCAGAUUUUCAAAAGUUUUGGAAUGCCACUUAUUCACAAUCCUCUCAGGACUACUACAGACAUGAAGGAUUUUUGUUCAAAGGAAAAACCUUAUGUAUUCCCCAGUGCUGUCUACGUGAAGCCAUUAUUUGGGAAGCCCAUGAUGGAGGAUUAGCAGGUCAUUUUGGACGAGAUAAAACUAUUGCUUUAGUGAAAGAAAAUUUCCAUUGGCCAAGACUUGAAAGAGAUGUCUACAAACAUAUUCAAAGAUGUCGAGUCUGCCAUUUGGCCAAGGCCAAAAGCCAAAACACUGGUUUUUACAUGCCACUCCCUGUUCCAGAAGCACCUUGGGAAGAUGUUAGCAUGGACUUUGUCCUUGGAUUGCCUCGGACACAACGCCAGAAAGAUUCUGUGAUGGUAGUUGUGGACAGAUUUUCAAAGAUGGCUCAUNCCUUGUUAUCAUCAAAACUCAAUAAGGUUCAUUGUGAAACACACUUUGUUCCAACACCACUUCCUUCAUGUAUCACCACAAUUUGAAAUAUAUAAAACUUGAGUUUCUCAUUUGAGAGUUAGAGAGUGGAUUCUCUCUUGGUUUCUGAGCCGUAUUGGCAUUAGAGCAAGGUUCUAAGGGUUUUCUAAGGGUUUCUUGAAGAAAAAGAGCUGCCACCUUCGAAACUCUACUUUGCGGUCAUUUUUUCGCAAAACUAACUCCGCCAUUGCUUUCUGAAGGCCGAAAAACCUUGGACUGGAGGUUUUUGUCACCAACGGAGCCUCCACGAGCCGCCAAAUGACUCGCCGGACCACCACCCGCCGCCACUAACCACCGCCGGAAGUCUAGAGGUUGAAGACGACCAGUCAGCAACCACGUGUCACUUAAACCAAUAACUUGCUGCCACGUGUCAACCUGACACAUCACCUGACAUGUCCAGUCAUCGACAAGUCAGCCUCCACAUCCCUGCCACGUGUCACCCAGUGCCACGUCAUGACCCAGUCACCCAAAAUUUCCAGAAAUUGCAAAUUUUCCCCAAAACUUUUCAGAAAUUUCAUAUUUGCCCCAAAACUUUCUGAAAUUAGAAAAUUGCCCCUCAACUUUCAAAAAAUUGCAGAAUUACCCUUUUUUUUUAAAUUGCAAAUUUGCCCAUAUUCUUUAUGGAAUUACAAUUUUACCCUUGUUCAAAAAUUGUGAAUUUUCAGGAAAUCCUUCCUUUUUAGUGCUAUUAUAAUAGACAAUUUCUAUUAUGCUCUGUGGUUGCAGUUUAAUCUGAUCUUCCACAUCAGAAAAUAAUUAUUCUAUUUUAUAGUAUUUAUACUCAUUUCACCCUUUAAAAAAAAAAUAAAAAAUAAAAAAAUAUGCCUCCAAGAAAAAACGACCAAACACUUAGGGAUAUUCAAAUGGAAGAAAUGAGAAGACAAAUCCAACAGUUACAAGAAACUGUAAAUGCACAACAAGCACAAUUGGAAGCCCAACACAUGCAAUCAGACGUUGAUGAAUCAAGUAGCGAAUCAUCAUCAUUAAGAAGUCGUCGUCCACAAAGACAAUCAUUCAGAGACAACGACAUCAAGGUAGAUAUUCCUGAUUUUGAAGGAAAUCUACAUCCAGAUGAGUUCGUUGAUUGGCUCCAAACUGUUGAAAGAGUCUUCGAGUAUAAAGAGAUACUUGAAGAAAAGAAAGUCAAGAUCAUUGCUGUCAAAUUAAAGAAGCAUGCUUCCAUUUGGUGGGAAAAUCUAAAAAUGAAGCGAGUCCGUGAAGGAAAAAGCAAGAUCAAGACUUGGGAGAAAAUGCGUCGAGAACUAAGCAAAAAGUUCUUGCCUUCUCACUAUUAUCAAGAUAGUUUUAUUCAACUACAGAACCUUCGUCAGAAAAACUUGUCUGUAGAAGAAUACACUAGAGAAUUUGAGAAGUUAAUGAUGAAGUGCGACAUUCAUGAAAGGCAGGAGCAGACAAUAGCUCGUUACCUUGGUGGAUUAAACACUGACGUUGCUCAUCCAGUUCAGCUCCAACAAUACUGGUCAUUAGACGAUGUUGUUCGUUUGGCCAUGCGAGUGGAGAAACAUUUACCCAAGAAGCAUUCUUAUAGGAAUUUUUCCUCCACUGAGAAUUCUUCUUAUCCCCGCAAAACAGACAACGAUCAGCCCAGUACUUCUACAAAACCUUCUCCUAAACCCACUACAGAAAAUAAACCCAAAGCUACCAAGUGUUUCAAAUGUCAAGGUUUUGGACAUAUAGCUUCAAAUUGUCCAACACGAAGAACCAUCACCAUCAUCAAAGGAGAAGCUUAUGAAGAUGUUGAUGAGGAAACAAACCGAGAUGAACCAGAAAAAGAAGAAGUGUUAGAGCCAAUUUAUGAUGAAGAGCUCAUUGUUGCUGAUCAUGGCGAGUCUCUGGUGAUCAGACGAAGCCUACACGCGAUGUCAGCUCAAGAAGAGCAUUGGUUGAGGAAAAACAUUUUCCAUACUCGUUGCACCACUGCUGGAAAAGUUUGUGAUGUUAUAAUAGACAGUGGUAGUUGUGAAAAUGUGGUGUCGAACUACAUGGUAGAGAAGUUAGAGAUGCCAACACAAAGUCAUCCUCAUCCUUACAAACUACAAUGGCUCAACAAAGGUAGUGAAGUGAAGGUUACGAAGCGUUGCCUUGUGAGUUUUUCCAUUGGUCAGAAGUAUCAAGAUCAAGUUUGGUGUGAUGUCGUCCCAAUGGAUGCAUGUCAUCUUCUCCUUGGAAGACCCUGGCAAUACGAUCGUCGUGCCCAUCAUGAUUGUUAUGCCAACACCUACUCCUUUGUCAAAGAUGGAGUAAAAAUCAAGUUAACUCCAUUACCACCGAGUGGACUUGAUAAAAACAAAAAUGAGUCCAAGCCAUUAGUGUCUUUAAUCACUAAGACUCAGUUCAAAGAAGCUGUGGACGAAGUCCAAACCAUGAGCUUUAUUCUAAUGUUCGAAGAAAAUGCAGAAACUGUCCUUCCAGUAGAAAUUGAACAAAUGCUCAGUGAAUUCCCAGAUGUAGUACCAGAAGACGUUCCACAAGGAUUGCCGCCGAUGCGAGACAUUCAACAUGCUAUUGACUUUAUUCCUGGAGCUGUCAUUCCUAAUAGACCAGCUUAUAGAAUGAGUCCACAAGAGCAUGCUGAAAUCACACGUCAAGUUGAAGAAUUGCUGAAGAAAGGACUAAUACAGGAAAGUGUUAGCCCUUGUGCUGUUCCUGCAAUUUUAGUACCCAAAAAGGAUGGAAGCUGGAGAAUGUGUGUUGAUAGUCGAGCUGUCAACAAGAUUACCAUCAAGUAUCGAUUUCCGAUACCUAGACUUGAUGAUUUAUUAGAUCAGUUGCAUGGUGCCACCAUCUUUUCAAAGAUUGAUCUUCGAAGUGGAUACCAUCAAAUCAGGCUUAGGCCAGGAGAUGAAUGGAAGACUGCAUUCAAAACAAGAGAUGGCUUAUAUGAAUGGACAGUGAUGCCCUUUGGGUUAUCUAAUGCUCCAAGUACCUUCAUGCGUCUAAUGAAUCAAGUACUUCGACCAUUCAUUGGCAAAUUUGUAGUUGUAUACUUUGACGAUAUCUUGAUCUACAGCAAACACAAAGAGGAACACUUAGAGCAGCUUCGACAAGUGCUACAAACUCUUCGCGAACAAAAACUCUAUGCAAAUUUGAAGAAAUGUUCUUUCCUAACCAAUGAGGUUACUUUUCUGGGUUACAUAAUCACUGCUGAAGGUAUUCGAGUUGACCCCAGCAAGGUUGAGGCUAUCAAUAGUUGGCCUAUUCCAAAGUCAAUUCAUGAUGUGAGAAGUUUCCAUGGAUUAGCUUCAUUUUAUAGAAGGUUCAUCAAGAACUUUAGCUCUGUUGCUGCCCCG
This 5128-nucleotide long non-coding RNA is filed under the name Medicago truncatula (barrel medic). RNAcentral describes it as "long non-coding RNA (MTRU_LNC004898)". Lineage: Eukaryota; Viridiplantae; Streptophyta; Magnoliopsida; Fabales; Fabaceae. The record is from RNAcentral.